AUUGAACGCUGGCGGCAUGCCUUACACAUGCAAGUCGAACGGCAGCACGGGGGCGAACCCUGGUGGCGAGUGGCGAACGGGUGAGUAAUACAUCGGAACGUGCCCCGUACGCGGGGACGAACCAGUCGAAAGACUGGCUAAUACCGCAUACGCUCCACGGAGGAAAGCAGGGGAGUCGCAAGACCUUGCACUAUGGGAGCGGCCGAUGCCCGAUUAGCUAGUUGGUGAGGUAAAGGCUCACCAAGGCAACGAUCGGUAGCUGGUCUGAGAGGACGACCAGCCACACUGGGACUGAGACACGGCCCAGACUCCUACGGGAGGC
Molecule: ribosomal RNA, 322 nt
Filed under: uncultured bacterium
Lineage: Bacteria
Description: bacterial SSU rRNA
Rfam family: Bacterial small subunit ribosomal RNA
Source: RNAcentral